CGGGUGAGUAACACGUGGAUAACCUACCUAUAAGACUGGGAUAACUUCGGGAAACCGGAGCUAAUACCGGAUAAUAUUUUGAACCGCAUGGUUCAAAAGUGAAAGACGGUCUUGCUGUCACUUAUAGAUGGAUCCGCGCUGCAUUAGCUAGUUGGUAAGGUAACGGCUUACCAAGGCAACGAUGCAUAGCCGACCUGAGAGGGUGAUCGGCCACACUGGAACUGAGGCACGGUCCAGACUCCUACGGGAGGCAGCAGC
RNAcentral lists this ribosomal RNA (258 nucleotides) under uncultured Staphylococcus sp. RNAcentral's name for it is "partial 16S ribosomal RNA". It matches the Rfam family "Bacterial small subunit ribosomal RNA", at positions 103 to 355 of the family's 1533-position model. Lineage: Bacteria; Bacillati; Bacillota; Bacilli; Caryophanales; Staphylococcaceae. The record is from RNAcentral.